GGAGGGAGGCUGAGGAGCCCGAGAGCUCUGCGCCAGUCCCGCGCCUUGUCACCGCGUCUCCGAGCGCUCGGGUCUCAGGAACUGCGGGCUCCGCAGGGCGCCCGCGGCCCUCCUCGGGCGACGCUGAUUGGUGAUGGCUUAGGCUCCGCCCUAAAGGGGCGUGAUCACACGCUUAGCCAGGUGUGCUAGGAUGGUCCUGGUCCUAGCCAUUCUAGCCAUCAAAGGACCACACGCAAGGACCAACUUCUGCCUAUGGCUGGUGGCGCACGUACAAGGAACUGUCAGAAUCCCUGCUGAUGGAAGUGCCCAGGUGGGCCUGGCGGCAGACAUCUUGGAAUCCCACCAAUGUGAAGACUUGAGUAUCACAAUGGCUGCAAGUUCGAGACCAGCCCAGGCUAAAUAGAUCCUGUCAAAAUAAUAACAGUAAUGUUGUAAAUGAAUAUGUGUGGUAGCCUGUUUGUAAUACCAGCUCUUGGGAAGCUAAAGGAAAAAAGUGUUUGUUUUGUACCUGACCAGGAACUGAGGUGCAUAUUUUACAUAUCAAAGCAGACUUGACCUCCGGACUUCCCCAGCGUCCUUUUAGUCCCUAUCUGGCAUUCCCUGCCCCCAACCUUGAACUUUCCAGCCCAGGAGCUAGGCUGCCCUUACCCCCAGAGGCUCCCUAUAUUUCUAGACAUUUUCUCUGUCUCCUCUCUGCCUGCAUGCCCUUUCUUUUUUUCUCUCUCCCUUCCUUAUCCCAUCCUUACCCCCGUGGCGACUCCUGAGGCCAGUGAACUAGCCUGCCUGAGAGAGCUUCCCAAUAAACCUGCCUUUAAUAGACUCGAA
RNAcentral lists this long non-coding RNA (825 nucleotides) under Mus spretus (western wild mouse). RNAcentral describes it as "lncRNA (ENSMSPG00010030868.1)". The record is from RNAcentral. Lineage: Eukaryota; Metazoa; Chordata; Mammalia; Rodentia; Muridae.